RNAcentral lists this unclassified non-coding RNA (429 nucleotides) under soil metagenome. Its description in RNAcentral is "partial contains 5.8S ribosomal RNA, internal transcribed spacer 2, and large subunit ribosomal RNA". The stretch from base 1 to 120 matches the Rfam family "5.8S ribosomal RNA", at positions 35 to 154 of the family's 154-position model. The record is from RNAcentral.
GAUGAAGAACGCAGCGAAAUGCGAUACGUAAUGUGAAUUGCAGAAUUCAGUGAAUCAUCGAAUCUUUGAACGCAUAUUGCGCUCUCUGGUAUUCCGGAGAGCAUGCUUGUUUGAGUAUCAGUAAACACCUCAACUCCCUUUUCUUUUUUGAAAUUGGAGCUGGACUUGAGUGAUCCCAACGCUUUCUUCCAAGAAAGUGGCGGGUUGCUUGAAAUGCAGGUGCAGCUGAACUUUUCUCUGAGCUAUAAGCAUAUCUAUUUAGUCUACCUAAAAAACAGAUUAUUACCUUUGCUGCAGCUAACAUAAAGGAGACUAGUUCUUGUGCUGACUGAUGCAGGAUUCACAGAGACAGCUUCGGCUGACUUUGUAAACUCGAUCUCAAAUCAAGUAAGACUACCCGCUGAACUUAAGCAUAUCAAUAAGCGGAGG